This 339-nucleotide unclassified non-coding RNA is filed under the name fungal sp. RNAcentral describes it as "partial internal transcribed spacer region". The stretch from base 1 to 46 matches the Rfam family "Eukaryotic small subunit ribosomal RNA", at positions 1786 to 1831 of the family's 1831-position model. Lineage: Eukaryota; Fungi. The record is from RNAcentral.
AAGUCGUAACAAGGUUUCCGUAGGUGAACCUGCGGAAGGAUCAUUUCUGUUAAAUCUUUUUCCUAUCUUUACUCCCCUUUUUCACAAAGGGGGGGGUAAAAUAGUUAAAAAUUAAUAACAACAAACGUCAACCGUGUGCAAGUGUCUGUAUUAGUGUAGUGUGUGUUGCACUGUUCCCCCUUUUACACAGGGGGCAGUGCAGCAUCAUUGCCACACUCUAUUUUUUGAUAAAAAACCUUUGAUAAAACACUCAUACACAGUGUGUAGUAUGUCGAAAGUAAACAAAACAAUUUAAAAAACAAGAAAAACACAGUUUUAACGGUGGAUCUCUUGGCUCGU